UACGUAGGUGGCAAGCGUUGUCCGGAUUUACUGGGCGUAAAGAGCGCGCAGGCGGUCGUUCAAGUCGCGUGUGAAAGCCCCCGGCUCAACUGGGGAGGGUCACGCGAUACUGAUCGACUCGAAGGCAGGAGAGGGUAGUGGAAUUCCCGGUGUAGUGGUGAAAUGCGUAGAGAUCAGCAGGAACACCCGUGGCGAAGGCGGCCCCCUGGGCCGUACCUGACGCUGAGGCGCGAAGGCUAGGGGAGCGAACGGG
RNAcentral lists this ribosomal RNA (253 nucleotides) under uncultured bacterium. Its description in RNAcentral is "partial 16S ribosomal RNA". It matches the Rfam family "Bacterial small subunit ribosomal RNA", at positions 524 to 776 of the family's 1533-position model. The record is from RNAcentral.